This 253-nucleotide ribosomal RNA is filed under the name uncultured bacterium. RNAcentral's name for it is "partial 16S ribosomal RNA". It matches the Rfam family "Bacterial small subunit ribosomal RNA", at positions 524 to 776 of the family's 1533-position model. The record is from RNAcentral.
UACGAAGGGUGCAACCGUUGCUCGGAAUUAUUGGGCGUAAAGCGCACGUAGGCGGCAUCGCAAGUCCCAUGUGAAAGCCCACGGCUUAACCGUGGAAGUGCAUGGGAAACUGCAGUGCUUGAGUACUUAAGAGGAUCGCGGAAUUCCCGGUGUAGAGGUGAAAUUCGUAGAUAUCGGGAGGAACACCAGUGGCGAAGGCGGCGAUCUGGGAAGAUACUGACGCUGAGGUGCGAAAGCGUGGGGAGCGAACGGG